UAUCUCCAUCUCUCUCUGCAAACCCUAAUUUCUCCCCUUUCCCCACUCUAAACCUUCAUCUUCAAUCACUCUCAGAAACUCCAAUUUCAUAACCCAAAUCUCCAGUUUCUUACUCAAUUCACUCUAAAUAUAUAAAUUCUUACCCCAAAACCGUGUUCUGAAACUCUAAUCGACCCUGAAUCUCAAUUUUAAGAACUAAAAUAAAGCUUCUAGCCGGAAAAAAAAGGAAGAAAAACCUAGUGGUGCGUUGAAUUUAGAUACUAAAUCUCUAUCAUUGACGUUUCCUUCUUCUUCGCUUUCUUCACUUAAAUGAAAUCUAGGAUGUGCUUGUUCUGUUUAGAGAGAUCUAUGAGGCUAAGUCAAGAAAGAAACAAUAGAUGUACGAAGUUUGCUUUGCCGAGAAGAGUAGGUCGAAGAAAUAAAGCUUUUGUUGCUGAAUUAAUGGAUAAGUGGGAGAAUGAAGGUGGUGAUUGAAGUUACAGAGAUAGGUUAGGGGUUUGAGAAGAUUGAACUGAUGAGAAAUCAAGAUCUGAUGGUGGUGGUUAUUAUAAUGAAGAAAUUAGGAUAUUGGUGAAAUUCAAAUUGCAUAUGAGGAAUUGAAGCUCAAUCUUGGAAGAAGCUCGAACCUGAUUUCGAGUUGGUGUUGCUGGUUAGAUGAAAUGGUUGCCGGUUCGCUCGAACCUGAUUUUCUGUAAUUUCUCCUUUUUUCUUCUUAAUUUCUCAUCAUUUUUAUUUAGAUUUUAGAAUUCUGUUGAUUUCUUGAACAAAAACCAUGAAUUUUACAGGGUUUUAUGUGAAUUUGAUAGUGGUGAUUUUGAUUGUUACAUAGGCAGUUUAAGACUGAAUUGUUGGGUUGAAGUUAACUGUCAAGGUAAAAUGGGUUUGAUUUAGUGGUUGUGGAAUUGAAUUCUGGUGGUGAUAGAAAGUUGAUUUUGGAGAUAUUGAUGAUGAAUUAGAAGAUGGGUUAAACUCAGAUUUGAGUUUGGUGGUGUUCUCGUUUUGCAGGUACAGAGAUGGAUGAGAGGUUGCAGGCUGGUAAAGUUUGAUAAUUGUUUUUUUUUUACUUUGAUGUUCUCACUAUUUCUUCCUUAUGUUUGAUUCAGCUGGUGUUUCAGAAAAUUAUUGUCUGACUUUGCCUCCCCGUUCAAAUGCAAGGAAUUUGUAUCUCAAAUUAAAGGAUUUAGGCAUGCCUGUUGAACUCAUUGGCGGGCGCAUUAAGCUGACCGAUACAUUUUGUGUGUGUGAAGAGGGACUACGUGUGACAGAGAAUGCCACUAAAAUUCUGGUAUGUCUAUACCUUCUGGUUUCUACAAACACUUAAAUCUAGCGUAAGCUUUGGCUAGAAGAGGAGCAACUAUUAUGGGUCUUGGCUACAUUUGGGAUGCUUAGCGUAGUCUUCAUUCUUCCUUUCCCAAGUAUGCUAAAGUCUAGUGCAAUUCAAAUAACCUAUUGUUUGGUCUUUGAUGUGCUUAUGUCAUUGUGCCAUUGUGCUAUUCAAAUAACCUUUUGCCCAAGACUUCUCAAGAAAAAGAUGUUUAAUUAUGUCCUUGUGCCAUUGUGUUGUUGGGGUGCCUCCACUGGAGAACCCGGAUAUUUUCGGUAAGCAGUUGCCUCUUGUUGCUGUACUUCUGCAGGUGUUAUCCGCUACUUCUUAUUGACUGCAAUUUUUUUCUUUGUGGUUUUAUAUUUUAUGCAGUUUGGACCUGCCGAGUUGUUGGUGAAUGAGUAUCUCAGGUAGUAGAUUUAUGUUAGGACAGGUACCAAUUACAGGUGCUGAGAUUAUGUAUGUUAGGACAGGUACCAAUUACAGGUGCUGAGAUUACACUAGAGAUGAUGAGAGUCUGCUAGGUUUGAGAAAGUGAAUCUGGUGGGUGCUUAUGUUGUGAAGGUGGUGGUCUGAGACAUUGCAGGUGGACCGUGAUAAGUUUGUGUGAGUGAUGGCGAAGAAUAUGAACUGGCUGUGUGUUGCAGAAGCUACAACAAUGAUUUGAAUUGGGACUGACAAAGAUGGAGGUAGUUGCAAUGAGUAGUUGAAUGGGAUGUGUAUGAACUAGAUGUAUGCUUAGGGUUGCAGUGUAUGAAACUGAGCUGCAGGUGCUGGCGCAAUUCUGGUAAUACUGUAAUACAGAGUUGAGCUGGUAGAAGCAAAUUUAUGCAUUGUGUUUCUGGUAAAUAGAUGGUUAUUAAAGUAUUACAUAUUUGAUUUUGUA
Molecule: long non-coding RNA, 2210 nt
Organism: Papaver somniferum (opium poppy)
Lineage: Eukaryota; Viridiplantae; Streptophyta; Magnoliopsida; Ranunculales; Papaveraceae
Exons: 2
Source: RefSeq, a predicted model, not a curated record